This 241-nucleotide ribosomal RNA is filed under the name uncultured bacterium. Its description in RNAcentral is "partial 16S ribosomal RNA". It matches the Rfam family "Bacterial small subunit ribosomal RNA", at positions 109 to 334 of the family's 1533-position model. The record is from RNAcentral.
AGUAUCGCGUGGGUAAUCUACCUAGAGGUGGGGGAUAGCCUCGGGAAACCGAGGGUAAUACCGCAUGAGUCCUCAAUGACACAAGUCGAUGAGGGGAAAGGCGGGGCUCCUUCGGGACCUGUCGCCUCUGGAUGAGCCCGCGUUCGAUUAGCUAGUUGGUGGGGUAAUGGCCUACCAAGGCAACGAUCGAUAGCCGGCCUGAGAGGGUGAACGGCCACAUUGGGACUGAGACACGGCCCAG